AAAAUUAAAAAGACGAACACAGUUGCAAAGCCUCUGUUAACGAAGCUGCCGCAUUCGAUGACAUAACAUUUUUACAUGAAAGACAAGGUAAACCACGUAACAUGACCGAAGAUAUGAGAGCGCGCGGCUCGGAUCAGCAAAUAAAGCGCGCCUUUCCGGACACGGCGGACUCCCGAAACUGCAGGGCACGGAGGCGGGAGGAGCUGCGUACGGAGCGGCCGCGGCGCCACGGAAAGCCCCUUAAAACAUCAUGUCAGCAUUUAAUUUAAGAUCUCCAGCGUCUCCGCCACCCGGAGCCCCGGUCAAAAAGCGGGAUGGGUGUAAAAACAUAAAGAAAAAGGAAACAGCAGAGGCAGGUUACCGGCAGCCGCUCCAAGACGACGGCAAGUGUGGGGCAGACGCCACGUCGUGGACGAAAGGCGCCCCACGUUAACAACCGUGACGGACAGUGCGAGUCUGACAGGGAACGACUUUCACGGGUCAAGGUUUGUCGCCGUGGCAACACUUAACAAUGACAGCGGAUAAGAGGAGUGCGCUUGAUGGCUCACCGCUGUCAGACGAAUGUCCCCAUCCCAUCAGGCACUGGUGAAAACAAAACGGGCAUCGGCAAUUUUCGCUGUCAGUGAGGAAAUGGGAGUCCGUCUCUCUCGAUGACACUUGGGGGAGGUGGAUUAGAGGGGGGGGGUAACUGAUGGUCACACGCAUGAAAAGAACAUCAAGGGUGGUGGUGAGCUACAAACUAACCUUAACUAGCUUCUUGCAGUCCCAGAAGAAGAGCUGCUUCCUGAUGCAAAUGACUCAAUCGGACAGCUUAUGGGCAAAACUGCUCUCUGCUGAGGGAGACCCCACACUUCCGGAGCGUAAAAAAAGACCCGCGUGAGUAACUCUUCAAGAAGAACUACAGCAGUUUUUCAGGGGCUUGCAUAGAGCGGGGUUGUGUCAGUUUGACCACAAGGACGUGGGGGGCAGGGGUGACAACCAUGAGGGACACAUCUGAAGAUUCGGGUCAGGACAAGCCUGAAACAGAGGGAUUUUCUGUUGUACCCUUGAAGAUCUUAACCAAAUGCAGCUGAACGAAGAACAUGAAACGGUACUCUGAUUAACAUACACUUUAACUUUUGUCAUUUAUAUCGACAGUUAAGAACACAUCCCAUGUUCCAAAACCAAGUCAGAUUACACAUUACACACGUUUCUGUUCACUGCCGCAGUACGCCGCUCCCCAUAUUCCUGGAUGUGCCAGCCCCAGAUUGAACAGAUCACUCAAGGAAUCCACAAAGUCAUGGCACAGGAAAUGCCGCGGCCCUUUGGACAUGUGUCGUACCGCACGCGCAUGCGUGUGAGCCUGUAUGUGUGUGUCUAUAAACAGGAGCAGGGAUAGAAACAUCCUCACCACUCUGCAUUCCUCUGCCAUUAUUAGCCUUCGCUCUGUUCACACUAUAUAUAUAUUUACUUUUUUAUCUGUUAUGAAAUAUUGCUAUUCAAGGUUACAGCCGGCACU
This is a long non-coding RNA of Paramormyrops kingsleyae, 1498 nucleotides long. RefSeq lists it as uncharacterized. The record is from RefSeq and is a predicted model, not a curated record. NCBI's taxonomy places the organism in Eukaryota, Metazoa, Chordata, Actinopteri, Osteoglossiformes, Mormyridae.